AUUGAGACAGGGUGUCCCCUUAGGUGAUCCUAAGAAGAUGUGUUCAUGGAAAUUAUGGUCAUAGUAGUUCCUUAAGUGAAGCUUGACAUAAGCUCUUUGAGAGCUAAGAUAUUUCAAUUGAACACACAAUAUGAAGAUUUGUAACUAAAAGAUGGAGAGGUAGUCUUGAAAGGCUGAUAGCUUUCACCUUGCUAGACCAUGGACACCAGUUCAUGGGGAGAUUGAACACAAUGGAUAGCAUGUCACGGACCUGAGCACUUGGUGUCUUGUUGUUAUUUACAUAGGAUACUAGAGUUCAGUUGAUUCUUUAUAGAGGGAUGUUGAAUCAACUUUAGAAU
Molecule: long non-coding RNA, 338 nt
Filed under: Vitis vinifera (wine grape)
Lineage: Eukaryota; Viridiplantae; Streptophyta; Magnoliopsida; Vitales; Vitaceae
Description: long non-coding RNA (VVIN_LNC000832)
Source: RNAcentral